UGCUCUUGUGACGAAAAAGGUAGACGUAUUAGUUUUAGGAACUAAUGUCAUUUGACGUAUGGGUUCAAAUCCCUUCAAGAGCAU
RNAcentral lists this transfer RNA (84 nucleotides) under Boodleopsis sp. H.0758. RNAcentral describes it as "tRNA-Leu". It matches the Rfam family "tRNA". From Rfam's summary of the family: Transfer RNA (tRNA) molecules are approximately 80 nucleotides in length. Their secondary structure includes four short double-helical elements and three loops (D, anti-codon, and T loops). Further hydrogen bonds mediate the characteristic L-shaped molecular structure. tRNAs have two regions of fundamental functional importance: the anti-codon, which is responsible for specific mRNA codon recognition, and the 3' end, to which the tRNAs corresponding amino acid is attached (by aminoacyl-tRNA synthetases). tRNAs cope with the degeneracy of the genetic code in two manners: having more than one tRNA (with a specific anti-codon) for a particular amino acid; and 'wobble' base-pairing, i.e. permitting non-standard base-pairing at the 3rd anti-codon position. Lineage: Eukaryota; Viridiplantae; Chlorophyta; Ulvophyceae; Bryopsidales; Halimedaceae. The record is from RNAcentral.